UGCGCUCUCUUGAUGGUACCUCGUAGC
This 27-nucleotide non-coding RNA is filed under the name Mus musculus (house mouse). Lineage: Eukaryota; Metazoa; Chordata; Mammalia; Rodentia; Muridae. The record is from RNAcentral.